Molecule: long non-coding RNA, 519 nt
Organism: Micropterus dolomieu (smallmouth bass)
Lineage: Eukaryota; Metazoa; Chordata; Actinopteri; Centrarchiformes; Centrarchidae
Exons: 3
Source: RefSeq, a predicted model, not a curated record
AGUUCCCCACAUUACAUGACACACAAUAAAAUGUGGAACAAGAUCAUAGCUACUCUGCAGCUGAAUAGCUUGCCAGCUUUACCUCCCAAGCUUCACCAGUCUUUGCCACAACGGAGCGUCUCCCUGUCCGUCUGCCAUGAGGCAUUUGACCUGGCUGUGACCACCCCGUGACCUCUGGUUACCUCUGAGGUCAGCGUCUGUGGGCUACUAAACGGAGAAACAUCCAACCUGGCAAGCGUCCGAUUGACUUGGAGGAUCCUCUGGAUGUGUAGAGGCUCUUGCCUCAGCCAAGUUCGGUGGGGUCGGCCCAGAAACACUGGAUGUCUUCUCACCACUGUCAGAGAACGAGAGACAAAAACACACAAAGCCUGAUCCCAAACUGACAUCCGUCUUUGGCAAAAGCAGUCAACAUAAAAGUGUUUUUAUGUUAGUUUGUCUGACAGUUCAGCAGUAGUAACAGGUAUUCAAGCUGAUGUGGAGCAGAAGUUUGACUCCUGCAUUUGAAACAUUUGAAACAGU